This 779-nucleotide long non-coding RNA is filed under the name Physcomitrium patens. Its description in RNAcentral is "long non-coding RNA (PPAT_LNC011458)". Lineage: Eukaryota; Viridiplantae; Streptophyta; Bryopsida; Funariales; Funariaceae. The record is from RNAcentral.
UUUUUUCAACUUAAUUUUUAGAAAGUGUGCAAAAUUUGAGUUAAGAUCAAUGGUUCAUUUAUUAGUUAUUGAGGUUUAAAUCUAUUAUAGGAUUUAGGAUUUGGUUUAGGAUUUGAUUAGGGUUUGGUUUAGGAUUUAGGAUUUUUUUUAGGAUUUUUUUAGGGUUUGGUUAGAAUUUUAUUUAGGGUUUGGUUAGGAUUUGGUUUAGAGUUUAAGAUUUAGUUAAGAUUUGAUUUAGGAUUUAGGAUUUGGUUUAGGAUUUGGUUUAGGAUUUAAGAUUUAGUUAGAGUUUGAUUUAGGAUUUAGGAUUUUUUUAGAGAUUGGUUAGAGUUUGGUUUAGGAUUUGGUUAGGAUUUGAUUUAGGAUUUAGGAUUUGAUUUAGGAUUUAGGAUUUUAUUAGGAUUUUUUUAGGGUUUAAGUUUUAAUUAGUUUUGGCCUAAAGUUUGAAUGAAGUCCAAUAAGAUUUUAACUAGGAUUAAAUUAAGAUUGAAUUGAGAUGUAUUUGAGAUAUAUUUAUGAUCAUUCUAAUAUUUCUUUAAGAUUUCUAAUUUUUUCUUUGAAAUUUCUUUGAGGUUUCUUUGAAUUUGAUUAAAGCUUACUUAGCAUUAUUAUGGUCUAAUUAGAGUUUAAUUAGUAUUUUAUUAGAGUUAAGAUUUUUUUGUUGCAAUUUCCAUUCUACUUUCCAUAGCUAGGUACCCGAAGCAUUCUUAAGCAAGACUUCAUGUAUUACGACAACCGACAUAAAGUACUUAAAGUUCUUGUGAUCUAUAUAUAUAAUG